UGGGGAAUAUUGCACAAUGGGCGGAAGCCUGAUGCAGCAACGCCGCGUGCGGGAUGACGGCCUUCGGGUUGUAAACCGCUUUCGCCUGUGACGAAGCGUGAGUGACGGUAAUGGGUAAAGAAGCACCGGCUAACUACGUGCCAGCAGCCGCGGUGAUACGUAGGGUGCGAGCGUUGUCCGGAUUUAUUGGGCGUAAAGGGCUCGUAGGUGGUUGAUCGCGUCGGAAGUGUAAUCUUGGGGCGUAACGCGGAGCGUGCUUUCGAUACGGGUUGACUUGAGGAAGGUAGGGGAGAAUGGAAUUCCUGGUGGAGCGGUGGAAUGCGCAGAUAUCAGGAGGAACACCAGUGGCGAAGGCGGUUCUCUGGGCCUUUCCUGACGCUGAGGAGCGAAAGCGUGGGGAGCGAACA
Molecule: ribosomal RNA, 407 nt
Filed under: uncultured bacterium
Lineage: Bacteria
Description: partial 16S ribosomal RNA
Rfam family: Bacterial small subunit ribosomal RNA
Source: RNAcentral